RNAcentral lists this ribosomal RNA (1372 nucleotides) under uncultured bacterium. Its description in RNAcentral is "bacterial SSU rRNA". It matches the Rfam family "Bacterial small subunit ribosomal RNA", at positions 28 to 1381 of the family's 1533-position model. The record is from RNAcentral.
GAUGAACGCUGGCGGCGUGCCUAAUACAUGCAAGUCGAGCGAACGGACGAGAAGCUUGCUUCUCUGAUGUUAGCGGCGGACGGGUGAGUAACACGUGGAUAACCUACCUAUAAGACUGGGAUAACUUCGGGAAACCGGAGCUAAUACCGGAUAAUAUUUUGAACCGCAUGGUUCAAAAGUGAAAGACGGUCUUGCUGUCACUUAUAGAUGGAUCCGCGCUGCAUUAGCUAGUUGGUAAGGUAACGGCUUACCAAGGCAACGAUGCAUAGCCGACCUGAGAGGGUGAUCGGCCACACUGGAACUGAGACACGGUCCAGACUCCUACGGGAGGCAGCAGUAGGGAAUCUUCCGCAAUGGGCGAAAGCCUGACGGAGCAACGCCGCGUGAGUGAUGAAGGUCUUCGGAUCGUAAAACUCUGUUAUUAGGGAAGAACAUAUGUGUAAGUAACUGUGCACAUCUUGACGGUACCUAAUCAGAAAGCCACGGCUAACUACGUGCCAGCAGCCGCGGUAAUACGUAGGUGGCAAGCGUUAUCCGGAAUUAUUGGGCGUAAAGCGCGCGUAGGCGGUUUUUUAAGUCUGAUGUGAAAGCCCACGGCUCAACCGUGGAGGGUCAUUGGAAACUGGAAAACUUGAGUGCAGAAGAGGAAAGUGGAAUUCCAUGUGUAGCGGUGAAAUGCGCAGAGAUAUGGAGGAACACCAGUGGCGAAGGCGACUUUCUGGUCUGUAACUGACGCUGAUGUGCGAAAACGUGGGGAUCAAACAGGAUUAGAUACCCUGGUAGUCCACGCCGUAAACGAUGAGUGCUAAGUGUUAGGGGGUUUCCGCCCCUUAGUGCUGCAGCUAACGCAUUAAGCACUCCGCCUGGGGAGUACGACCGCAAGGUUGAAACUCAAAGGAAUUGACGGGGACCCGCACAAGCGGUGGAGCAUGUGGUUUAAUUCGAAGCAACGCGAAGAACCUUACCAAAUCUUGACAUCCUUUGACAACUCUAGAGAUAGAGCUUUCCCCUUCGGGGGACAAAGUGACAGGUGGUGCAUGGUUGUCGUCAGCUCGUGUCGUGAGAUGUUGGGUUAAGUCCCGCAACGAGCGCAACCCUUAAGCUUAGUUGCCAUCAUUAAGUUGGGCACUCUAAGUUGACUGCCGGUGACAAACCGGAGGAAGGUGGGGAUGACGUCAAAUCAUCAUGCCCCUUAUGAUUUGGGCUACACACGUGCUACAAUGGACAAUACAAAGGGCAGCGAAACCGUGAGGUCAAGCAAAUCCCAUAAAGUUGUUCUCAGUUCGGAUUGUAGUCUGCAACUCGACUACAUGAAGCUGGAAUCGCUAGUAAUCGUAGAUCAGCAUGCUACGGUGAAUACGUUCCCGGGUCU